This 583-nucleotide ribosomal RNA is filed under the name Lulwoidea lignoarenaria. RNAcentral's name for it is "eukaryotic LSU rRNA". It matches the Rfam family "Eukaryotic large subunit ribosomal RNA", at positions 41 to 646 of the family's 3401-position model. Lineage: Eukaryota; Fungi; Ascomycota; Sordariomycetes; Lulworthiales; Lulworthiaceae. The record is from RNAcentral.
UAUCAAUAAGCGGAGGAAAAGAAACCAACAGGGAUUGCCCCAGUAACGGCGAGUGAAGCGGCAACAGCUCAAAUUUGAAAUCUGGCUUCGGCCCGAGUUGUAGUUUGUAGAGGAAGCUUCGGGCAACGCGCCUUCUGAGUCCCCUGGAACGGGGCGCCGGAGAGGGUGAGAGCCCCGUACGGUUGGACGCCGCGCCCAUGCGAAGCCCCUUCGACGAGUCGAGUAGUUUGGGAAUGCUGCUCUAAAUGGGAGGUAAAUUCCUUCUAAGGCUAAAUACCGGCCAGAGACCGAUAGCGCACAAGUAGAGUGAUCGAAAGAUGAAAAGCACUUUGGAAAGAGGGUUAAACAGUACGUGAAAUUGCUGAAAGGGAAGCGCCUGCGACCAGACUCGCGCCAGGCGGAUCAUCCGGCGUUCUCGCCGGUGCACUCCGUCCGGUGUGGGCCAGCAUCGGUUUUGCUGGGGGGAUAAAAGCGAGGGGAACGUAGCUCCCUACGGGGAGUGUUAUAGCCCUCCGCCCAAUACCUCCGGUGGGACCGAGGACCGCGCUUUAUUGCAAGGAUGCUGGCGUAAUGGUCGUCGGCG